UGAUUUGGUUUCCUCAGUUUCCGUUUCAAUUUCACCGCGGUUUUAAUGUGUAUUUAAGUCUUCAGUCUCCACUGGACGAUCCUAUGGUCAGUUCUGACGAAUCAUCUUCGUUUUAUCGUCUCGAUUGCGGAGUUCCCAGAAGGAAAUUGAGUGGUUUCUCCGCACGGAGACAUUGCAUGUUAGUGCGAGCUUUUGACUGGGUAUAGAAAACGGGUAUGCGCUCUGCAGCACAGGUCUGUGUGAAUUCAAGACAAAAUCCAAAAACAGUUCUCAAAGUGAGAAAUGGAAUACUGUCAACAACUGAGCAUAAGCUCCCAGACGUUUGGUUUUCUAUACCAAAACUUGGCAAAACCAAAGAUUGAGUUAUCGUGACUGAGCUUCUAGUUCAGUUAAU
This is a long non-coding RNA of Macrobrachium nipponense, 394 nucleotides long. RefSeq lists it as uncharacterized. NCBI's taxonomy places the organism in Eukaryota, Metazoa, Arthropoda, Malacostraca, Decapoda, Palaemonidae. The record is from RefSeq and is a predicted model, not a curated record. The transcript has 3 exons.